RNAcentral lists this ribosomal RNA (250 nucleotides) under uncultured bacterium. RNAcentral's name for it is "partial 16S ribosomal RNA". It matches the Rfam family "Bacterial small subunit ribosomal RNA", at positions 524 to 773 of the family's 1533-position model. The record is from RNAcentral.
UACGGAGGGUGCAAGCGUUGUCCGGAAUCAUUGGGUGUAAAGGGUGCGUAGGCGGGAGCUUAAGUCUGGGGUGAAAUCUUGCCGCUUAACGGUAAAAUGGCCCUGGAUACUGGGUUUCUUGAGUGUAGAAGAGGUAAGUGGAAUUCAUAGUGUAGCGGUGAAAUGCAUAGAUAUUAUGAAGAACAUCAGUGGCGAAGGCGGCUUACUGGUCUACAACUGACGCUGAGGCACGAAAGCGUGGGGAGCGAAC